Molecule: long non-coding RNA, 199 nt
Organism: Cololabis saira (Pacific saury)
Lineage: Eukaryota; Metazoa; Chordata; Actinopteri; Beloniformes; Belonidae
Exons: 3
Source: RefSeq, a predicted model, not a curated record
CAGGUGAGGUCUCGGAUGCAGAGGACUAUUUACUCUGUGAUGAGGGUUGUGAAAAAUGUAAACGCGAGAACUUGCAAGAUCCGGAUCAGAAAACAGUUUGUCUAAAAUGUGGAGAUGGUUAUUAUCAUGACGACGCUGCCAUGGUGUGUGCUCCCUGUGAAGAUAAACACUGUCAAAUCUGUAACCAGUCCCAGUGCUA